Molecule: long non-coding RNA, 1189 nt
Organism: Phasianus colchicus (ring-necked pheasant)
Lineage: Eukaryota; Metazoa; Chordata; Aves; Galliformes; Phasianidae
Source: RefSeq, a predicted model, not a curated record
UGAACCAUAACAGAUUCAGUUGCUGUAUACCUGUGAUAUACUCUGGGAUCUCCUCUGCUAGCUCUUACUCCUGAAUAAUGCAGAUGAUUGAUGCUUGCCUGCUUUGGGGUGCUGCAAGAUGUUAGACUGCCUGAGAUCACGUAAUAUCUAUGAUGCUGAAGGAAAGGCCACAGUUGUCUUUACCCUGCAAUGAGUUUCAUCAAGAGAGCAGAGGAGACUUUACUAAAUAUCCUGGAUCAUGUCGUAAGGGACACAACACAUCAGCAAUAACAAGGCAUGGUAACAAUACGUCUGAGGGCUACAAAGAUGCAUUCGCUUAUGCUUCCCUCCUGUCUGCGUGUUCACUUAGACCACCUUGCCUGGCUUUCCAACUGGCAUUUUAUGUCCUGAUCAUUGAUCAGUGGAGACUGCUCAAUUUGUUCAUUAUGGUUCUGCAGAUAACUAUAUUGUUCCCUGGGACAACUGUACAUCUAUCCAUUGGAAAUCAGUGGCAUGCUGAGGAUUUUCCAUUUUUGAAGAUGUUGGAGGUAGGCUACAGUAUUACAGAUUAGAUUUUGGAGUACUGCAUAGACUUUUUUGCAAAGCAAGUUUGGCAGCAUUUGAUUCAAAGAGUUAUUGAUUUGUAUCCAUAGCCGAAGUUGCCUUUCACUAGCUCUCUGCCAUUAGUAAAGGCUGCACUUCUUGUCCUUUAUGGAUGUAAGACUUGUUUAGGUCUUGGUUCUCUUUUGCUAUUUUAUGUCAAACAGGUCUGCUUCUAGACCUUUUUUUCCAUUUAUUAGAAAAAACACUGGCAGGAAAAGUACUAUGCCUGUGAAUAACACUCCAUUAAGUUUAACUUACCAAGUUGAGUGAGUUAACCCAGAUUCUCACAUUUCUAAGAGCUCUGUCAAAAUCCAGUGCAGAUGUUGCAGCUAAGGGAUGACAAUAAGUAGAAAUUUGAACAAAUGAGUAAAUUGUUGGUAUUUUCACACAAUCUGGUAUUUUUUCAGAAGUAAUGAUUUGGAUCUAUGUCUCGUAGAUAUUGUAAAGAUAUACACCUACAAAGAUUUUUUGUUAAGUAAGCUCAUUUCUGUUUCAAGCCAUAGAGGGAUAGGUUUGCUAUGAUGCCUCCCUCCUUCAUCUUGUCUUGCACUGAAUAAUUUGUGGGAAUUAAGAAAAAGCAUUUAGCCCCAGUGCCUGGCAUACCUUG